This 646-nucleotide long non-coding RNA is filed under the name Olea europaea subsp. europaea. The record is from RNAcentral. Lineage: Eukaryota; Viridiplantae; Streptophyta; Magnoliopsida; Lamiales; Oleaceae.
CUCGUUUCUAGCGCAUGCUACAGUUGUCAACUGACAUAAUAAUUAAUCCUCAUUAAUUCAUAGUCCUCAAAUGCAACCCCCAAAAGCAAUCAAAAACAAAGGGAAAAUGGGGUGCUGUUGCGAGGAGGAAGAAGACUAUGUAGUGACCCCACGGGACCUCCGCCGGCCCCUCAAUCCCAGCCACCACCAUGGGCGCGAAGCUCUACAGUGUACCGAUCUAGUUAUCUCACCAAUGAAUUCUAACUUCUCAACUCUAUUAUGCAAGGACACUCUCCGCGCCAUAUUGGAGAACCUAUCACUCGUCGACCUGGUAAUUCGUGGCCGCUGAUAGGGAUAUGCAGACCAAGGCUUUUAUUUUCCCCUGGAAACUUCGGGAUGUUGUUGGAAACUCUACCUCUACUGGCUUCUGAAGAGACAAUUUGCUCAACAAAUUUGCCAUUUCGCAUUAGCUGUCGUGUGGAGACUCAAUCACCAGCCUCAUGUCAAAUAUUUCGUUCAGUAUUUUAAGUUGUUAUUUGUAGAUUUGCUACGUACAAGGAAGAAGAUGUCGUUGAAGGAAGAAGAUGAAUGAUUUUUUAUUUACUUUUUUUUAAUUUAUAUUUUUAAUUAUAUAUUUGUCAUUAAUUUGUAAUUUUUCAAAAAUUUG